CGUGGACUAUGAAUCCUUUGAUGCGGAGCCUUCAUCAAACAACUCCACUCCUUCAGUGCCAGUGAUCAUAGAUCAAAGGAACCUUUGAUGUCUUGCAAAGGUGACCUUCUCUCUCUCUCAGAAUUGUGACAUUUCCUCACACCGUUUCAACAUCGAGACUUGUUUACGCGCUGAAGAGCUCACCACGAACCGGAAAAGGAGGAGCCUUGUUCAAUAGCCGCUCUCCAGUAUAAAAGCAGCUGCGUUCUUCCCCCACCGCCACCAUUUUGAGAUUACCUAACGCUUGCGUGACUUCCUCCAGCGUGUCGGUUCCUUUGUCUUUGAAAAUGAGCGACCAGCUUUGUAAACUCUUCGUCGGCGGACUGAACGUGGACACGGACAGCGAUGGCCUGCGCAAGCACUUCGAGCAGUACGGCACCCUGACGGACUGCGUGGUGGUCGUCAACAAGCAGCUGCAGAGGUCGCGUUGCUUCGGCUUCGUCACCUACUCCACGCCGGAGGAGGCCGACUGCGCCAUGGGGGCUAGGCCGCACACCGUCGACGGCAACACGGUCGAGGUGAAGCGCGCCGUGGCCCGCGAAGACGCCAACAAACCCGAGGCCCUCGCCAAGGUGAAGAAGAUCUUCGUCGGCGGCCUGAAGGACGACAUCGAGGAGGAGCACCUCAUGGACCACUUCAGCCAGUACGGCGAGAUCGAGAAGGCCGAAGUCAUCUCCGACAAGGAGACCGGCAAGAAGAGGGGCUUCGGCUUCGUCUACUUCAACGAGCACGACGCGGCCGACAAGGCGGUGGUGGUGAAGUUCCACUCCAUCAAUGGACACAAAGUCGAGGUGAAGAAAGCCCUGACCAAGCAGGAGAUGCAGGCGUCCGGCAGAGGCGGCAUGGGGAUGGGGGGAGGCCGGGGAAGGGGCAUGCGCGGCGGCCAAAAUGGCUACGGCAACAGGGAGUACGGUAACUACAACUACGGAAAUGGCGGCGGGGGCUACAAUGGCGGCGGCGGUGGCGGAUACGGAGGAGGCUACGGCGGGUAUGGCGGCGGCUAUGGAGACCAGGGAAGUGGUGGCUAUGGAGGUGGAAACGGCUACAACGAUUUUGGAAGCGGCUACGGGCAGCACACCUCCGGCUACGGGCCCAUGAAGGGAGGACCCUUCGGCAGCCAGCGGAGCGCGGCGCCCUACACCCGGGGAGGCGGCGGUGGAGGCGGCGGCGGAUACCCGAGGGGAGGCUAUGGCGGCGGUGGCUACUAGACGAGAAACUGCACAAUGGAAACCCGAGCACCCAUCCCCCUCCGCCUCAACCCACCUCCGGCCUAAACUCAAAUUCAGUUACGGGGGCGUCUGUCGUGAAACCCACCCAUGGCAGCGAAAUGGACACAGAGACCCCCUCUAAUCAUAACGAAGACCCCAAACAGGUUGCUAUGGUAACCUGGGUACGAGGACAUCACCCCUGACAAACGAUGGGGGUGCGUGUCUCCACGCUGGCGGGGGGGACCAAGAGAGGCUGUGUCUUCUCCCCCUCAGGUGAAGUCAAUUUCACAACGGAUUCCAGUGUGUGGUCUAAAUGACCUGAGAGGUUUUGAUUUGGGGUGGAGUGAGCGCUCUCCACUGAUUUUUAUUGCUGUGAAUAUUACUUGACUUAACCUCUCAUUGCAGGUUGUGGACAUUAGUGGAUUCCCUUUCAAAAUGUUAUUUUUACUUUAACUGACCUGACUAGGUAUUACUCCGAGUCAUAUGACAAAAGAAUCUUAUUGGUUUCAACCAAAACUACAGGUAUAACCAGGAAAACCCAAAGUGUAAUGGGUUAUUUGAAGAUACAUUGCACAUUAUGUAAGUAUUCAAAUGAUUGUCCUCAGAUGAUGCAGAUAAACUCAACAUAAGUUUUCAAAGUACAAUAAAUUAUGUCAACACUUAUAAAUAAAUGUAUAUACUAAAUAUCUAUCGUUUCUUCAAGGAUGAGCAGAAAUAAAGUUGAAUGACUUUAUCCAUCAUAUCAGUUAAGAAGGAUCAUCUGUCUGCAGACUCUUCAAAAUAGGAAACCAUGAUGGAAACUUGCCUCUUGAUUAAAUGCACACCUUGAUACGCAUAUGUCUGUUAACUUUGAAUAAAACCUAUACAAAAUUA
This is an RNA transcript of Limanda limanda (common dab), 2120 nucleotides long. It is a transcript of the gene named heterogeneous nuclear ribonucleoprotein A0-like, with no coding region annotated. The record is from RefSeq and is a predicted model, not a curated record. The transcript is spliced from 3 exons. Lineage: Eukaryota; Metazoa; Chordata; Actinopteri; Pleuronectiformes; Pleuronectidae.